Molecule: ribosomal RNA, 314 nt
Filed under: Acinetobacter baumannii ABNIH14
Lineage: Bacteria; Pseudomonadati; Pseudomonadota; Gammaproteobacteria; Moraxellales; Moraxellaceae
Description: bacterial LSU rRNA
Rfam family: Bacterial large subunit ribosomal RNA
Source: RNAcentral
CAGUUCGGUCCCUAUCUACCGUGGGCGCUGGAAAUUUGAGAGGAUCUGCUCCUAGUACGAGAGGACCAGAGUGGACGAACCUCUGGUGUACCGGUUGUGACGCCAGUCGCAUCGCCGGGUAGCUAUGUUCGGAAGGGAUAACCGCUGAAAGCAUCUAAGCGGGAAGCCUACCUCAAGAUAAGAUUUCCCUAGGACUUUAUGUCCUCUAAAGAGCCGUUCGAGACUAGGACGUUGAUAGGUUGGAUGUGGAAGCAUAGUGAUAUGUGAAGCUGACCAAUACUAAUUGCUCGUGAGGCUUGACUAUACAACACCCA